This 384-nucleotide long non-coding RNA is filed under the name Solanum tuberosum (potato). RNAcentral's name for it is "long non-coding RNA (STUB_LNC009401)". The record is from RNAcentral. Lineage: Eukaryota; Viridiplantae; Streptophyta; Magnoliopsida; Solanales; Solanaceae.
UUGGAUUAUGUUUUUCCUGUUAGAUCUCACUGGUGGCCACCCCACAAUUUGUGCCCUGCAAACAUGAAUCAACAACAUAUUAUUAGACCUCAUUUCUUCAAUUGAGUCAAAAGGGGUUAAAAAGUUUAGAUUUUUAAGUGUGUUUGGUGCACAAAACAUCUCACGUUAGCAGAGAUUGAAAAAGGACCACACCCCACAAUCUAUCCUAAUGCAUAUAUUAAUGACUACUUUCACGACUCAAACCAGACAACAACAUAUUAUAAGUCCUCAUUUCUUCAAUUGAGUCAAAAGGGGUUAAAAAGUUUAGAUUUUUAAGGGUAUCUAAUGCACAAAAUAUUUACAACACCCCAUAAUCUACUCUAAUACAAAUAUUAGUAACUUCGU